UACGUAGGUGGCAAGCGUUGUCCGGAUUUAUUGGGUUUAAAGGGUGCGUAGGCGGUCCUAUAAGUCAGUGCUGAAAUAUCCCGGCUUAACCGGGAGGGUGGCAUUGAUACUGUAGGACUUGAGUAGAGUUGAGGUUGGCGGAAUUGACGGUGUAGCGGUGAAAUGCUUAGAUAUCGUCAAGAACACCGAUAGUGAAGACAGCUAACUAAGCUCUAACUGACGCUGAGGCACGAAAGUGUGGGGAUCAAACAGG
Molecule: ribosomal RNA, 253 nt
Filed under: uncultured bacterium
Lineage: Bacteria
Description: partial 16S ribosomal RNA
Rfam family: Bacterial small subunit ribosomal RNA
Source: RNAcentral